GGAAGUAUAUCUCAAUGGUAGAGCAUUUGCCUAGCAUGCAAGAGGCCCUGGGUUCAAUACCCAGUACCACAA
RNAcentral lists this transfer RNA (72 nucleotides) under Marmota monax (woodchuck). RNAcentral describes it as "tRNA.Ala". It matches the Rfam family "tRNA". Rfam says of the family: Transfer RNA (tRNA) molecules are approximately 80 nucleotides in length. The record is from RNAcentral. Lineage: Eukaryota; Metazoa; Chordata; Mammalia; Rodentia; Sciuridae.